UUGUGGCUGGGGCUGAGGCUCGGGUACCGGGCCGAAGUCGCGCGGGCGGGGCACGAACGCCAGGCGGCUGUCGGAUGGCGCGGUUCUGGAGCCUUGCGUUUGCGCAGCGUCGCGGCCGAGGCCGGCCCAGGGGACCCCGGAGCCCGGGGAGGAAAUCAGACAGUAAAGCUAUGAAGUGAAAACAGAGAACCUGUAAUCCCAGCUACCAGGCAGGCUGAGACAGGAAGAUGGUGACAACAUACAGAGACCCCAUCUCAGAAGAAAAGCAGCCCUCUGAUUCACGCGUAUAUACGUAUAAUCAGUUCUGCCACUCAGAAAGCAGUCACUGCCCUUUACAUUUCAGAGAGCAUGUACAUUUUUUUAUCAUAACAAAUAACACUGAGAGAGAGGUCAUCCAGAGAGAAGCACUGUUAUUCCCAACUUAUGAAUGUGAAGACAAAUGUUGGCUGAAUGACUCAACAAAUACCUAA
RNAcentral lists this long non-coding RNA (470 nucleotides) under Castor canadensis (American beaver). Its description in RNAcentral is "lncRNA (ENSCCNG00000020060.1)". Lineage: Eukaryota; Metazoa; Chordata; Mammalia; Rodentia; Castoridae. The record is from RNAcentral.